Salvelinus sp. IW2-2015 is the source of this 1157-nucleotide non-coding RNA. The record is from RefSeq and is a predicted model, not a curated record. NCBI's taxonomy places the organism in Eukaryota, Metazoa, Chordata, Actinopteri, Salmoniformes, Salmonidae.
GGAGCGUUUAAGGAUCCAUUUGUGACUGAGAGAGCACAGCACCACCAUUACAGGCAGCCUAGUCCGGGCCAAGGUAAUCCACACUAACUGCCACACAGCCCUUUCUUCCUCGGAUAAGAGGAGCCAGCAGCUGCGAUUCCGGACAGUUAAGAUUAUAUAUGAUGUGUAUAUAUCGAGGGUUUGUCAGCUCUUCCAGGCCAUAAAACCCACUUUAAUGGCACCACGUGCUCCGUAUGCACCAUUCACAGGCCCCGCUAGAGGCAAUUGGCAUAAAUAACCUUCCAAACUUUAAAAUACUAAAAGAAAGAGAUACCAUAAAGGGGAAUUUGAUAGCCCUACAUAGGCUAACGUAGCACGGUUAGGCCCGACAGUGCCAUUGAGAAAGCAGUUCAUGCUCUGCUGCAUUUAUAGACCUAGCAGUAAAAAGGCUACCUGUCUGCGAGGAUAACCCGAAGAGCUGCAAAAGGUGCACCCCACACGACAAAGUGCAAAAGGAAACCAUUGGAAAAAGGUUCCCGCACAAUGACCUGCAGCAAAAUCUCAUUGAGGUGCUAGUACGACUCAAACGCACCUGCGACAGGCCUAUUCACUUUGUCUAAAUUCAAUUAGCCUCACACAAUAUCUGAAGUGAUUUGGAAAAAUCAAAUGUGCAUUUUUGCCAGCUAAUGUUUUUACUUUAGGCUAUAGCCUAAUUUACAGUGAAAAAAGUAGUUAAAUACACAAUAUGUACCCCCCCGCCCCCACAGACAGACACACACUUUCACAGCUUUGCCAUCACUACACAUGCAUUCAAUGUUAAUUUUGUGUAAAUUAAUAUUCAACAAAAUAUGCACAGGAAAGGGCCUACGUUCCAUUGACCACAGUAUACACAAUUGGCGAAUCCAACAAUGAUGAUGUUCAUGCGUAAAAGAUCGUGUAUAAAGCGUAACAAAGCUCGUGAGUAAACCUUAGCAAUCCGAUCGACGCGCAAGUUCUAGGCUAGUUGGGCAUAGAUUUCUGAAGUAAACAUCUUGCCCUAUGUGUGCAAAUUAUUGUUGUUGUGAAAUAUGAUCAUGAUGAUUAUUGUGAUUAUGAUUUAUAGUUAUAUUAGUAUUAUGAUUUUGACCAUGUUUGSUGUUGCUGGUGUUCCUCCAAUAAAUAUAAUUACAUUUUUUACA